RNAcentral lists this ribosomal RNA (450 nucleotides) under uncultured bacterium. RNAcentral describes it as "partial 16S ribosomal RNA". It matches the Rfam family "Bacterial small subunit ribosomal RNA", at positions 354 to 796 of the family's 1533-position model. The record is from RNAcentral.
GUCGAGAAUAAUUCACAAUGGACGAAAGUCUGAUGGUGCAACGCCGCGUGGAGGAUGAAGGUCUUCGGAUUGUAAACUCCUGUCAUCGGGGAGUAAGACCUGGCGGUAAAUAGCCGACAGGGUUGAUAGUACCCGAAGAGGAAGGGACGGCUAACUUCGUGCCAGCAGCCGCGGUAAUACGAAGGUCCCAAGCGUCGUUCGGAAUCACUGGGCGUAAAGGGUGCGUAGGCGGCGUGGUAAGUCAGAUGUGCAAUCCCGGGGCUCAACCUCGGAACUGCAUCCGAUACUGCCAUGCUUGAGGGCUGGAGAGGUAACUGGAAUUCUCGGUGUAGCAGUGAAAUGCGUGGAUAUCGAGAGGAACACUCGUGGCGAAGGCGAGUUACUGGACAGCAUCUGACGCUGAGGCACGAAGGCCAGGGGAGCGAAAGGGAUUAGAAACCCGUGUAGUCC